Molecule: long non-coding RNA, 6152 nt
Filed under: Sus scrofa (pig)
Lineage: Eukaryota; Metazoa; Chordata; Mammalia; Artiodactyla; Suidae
Description: lncRNA (ENSSSCG00015012244.1)
Source: RNAcentral
GUAUCUAUCCCCUAGCACGGAUUCAGGCCCCCUGGCCAGCAGCAGCCCACCCAUGACAUGGCCAGAGAAAUGGUGUGUUUCACCCCACCCCCCCCCCCCCCCCCAGCCCCUGCCUCCCCGCCACUGCCCCUCUGAGGACUGGGGAGCAGGAGGUUGCUGUGCUUUGGGGAGCCAGGUUCCCUUAUAGGAAACAACCUGCUCCUACCUGGUGGUUCAGCAAACUGGACUCCUUCCUCCCAAGGCUGGUCACCUUGUCCCCACGCCACCAACUGCUGCAACCUUUUCUGUGCCGAGCUGCCAAGGGGCAGGUGACAGUGUAUCUCCAGACAAAGGCUCAGAAGUGGUAAACAGCCAAAGCCUCGCUAUGCUGCGUGAGCCAGUGUGGCCGGGACAGCAGCUGCAUUCGAGAAGGCCUUCUGAGCAUUAUAACGAUGUUUUGGGAUCUAUAAAUGGAUCAUGGGUUCAGACCAUGACAAUAGUUGCUGAAUGAGUUCAGAUUCUCAUUUCCAACAGAACUGAUGGAAGGGUGAGGCCACCUUGAGAUGAGUUCCGUCCACUUUCCCAUCUGUGACUCACCCACAAAGCCUAGGGGUCUGUCACUGCUAAGCAGAGAAACCACCAGAUGGAAAAACAAUCUUGUAAACAGAUGACAAUGGGAGCUGGGGCUUUUGGACCAGGCAGGGGGUGGGGGGUGGGGGGUGGCUGUUUAUGCAUUUAGAGGUUCCUAUAGCUCCCUCAGCAUCUGCACUUAAAAGUGGAGAAGGGGAUUUGUGAGUGGGUGGUCUUUGCUGCUGGAGACUUUGGGGUGAGAAUUUAGGGGUGAUGGAGGUGAACUACCUAGCGAUUUUAAGACCUCAGGUAAGAAGAGCCUCAGGCAGACAGGAAACAUCCAGCCUGUGCUCCCCGCAAAUCAAGGGGGACCUGCAUCUCAAGCCUGCUUCUCAUCUGGAUGGCAAGGGGAUAUUCAAGCCCCCCCCCACCUCUCCUGGAGGUUCCUGUGUGAUGGCUUCAGGCCCCAGGGAUUGAAAGUGCAGUGGGGGUCACCCACGCGAAGUGAGGAACCUGUUCUUCAGAAGAGGAGCAGGAACUCCGGCAUUUCUCUGCCCUUAUCCAGUUUUAGUUCCAAAUGUUCUCAGGUUAGUGCCUCCAAUGCUGCUCUCGAUGAUAAAUCCCAUGGGAUUCAUGUGCAAAACUUAGUCCCGCACCCCCUGCUCCUCUGGGAGACUGGGGUACCUGGCAUCUGCCUGUUCAACAAGUGCUCCCAUGGGGACCAGGUGGCCUGACCCGCACUGGCCUUCUCUCCCAGGGUUAAAGCUGGGAACACCCUUCCAUGCCACACUCCACUGCCAGCUUCAACCUCCCAGCUCAGGAGAGUCUCAGCGAAGUGGGGAUGGAGGCAUAUCCUAAUACUUGGUCAAGGAUUAAGGGCCCAGACUGUCAAGGACACAGGCUGACACUGAACAGAAAUGGUGUCAUUGCAACUGCCUUUGUAGCAGCACCUGACUGGCUUGUGCAGGUGGCAGGAUUCCCACCUCUGGCACUACUGGAAUUCUGAGCUUGUAAUUAUCUGGUGGGGAGGGGGGAUGUUCCAUGCAUGAGAUAUUUUGCAGCAUGCUGAUCUUUGCCCACUAGACACCCCCGGCCCCCAAUUGGUACAACCAAUGAGUUCUCCAGAUGGCACCUCUGUCCUGCAUGAGGCACAGUUUUCUGGAGCCUCUGACCACUGAGCCGGGUUAACCUCAGCCUUCUCCUUUGAGGCUACUUAGAGCCAGUCCCUUGUGUAAGCAGCAAUAAUGUCACCCAGGGGCUAUCAGAAAUGCAAGUUUUCACAUCAGACCCAGCCUGACUGAAUCAGAAUAUCUGGCCACAGGACCCGGAGUUAGGUUUUCACAGUCCUCUGGGAUAUGCUUAUCCAUGCUAGGACUCAAGAAAUACUGUGCAUGCCAGCCACUUGUCAUGUAGCUACUGGAAUCUUUAAUUAACCGAACUAAAUUGACUAACACUACAACUUCCGUUCCUUGGCUGCUCCAGCCACAUUUCGAGUGCUCAAUAGCUGCUAAUACUGCAUAGGACCAUUCUAGAACAUUCUUAUCACUGUAGGAAGUUUGGCUGGACUGCACUGUUUUCUGCCACUCUGAAGUACUGCCAAAAUGUGGACGCCUCCAAGAAUCAUAAGACUGUCACUUUUGCUAUCAGCCAAGUUUUAUGGGAUGCGCACUGGCUACCUUAUGGUGGUGUGUAGCUAGAUAUAGAAGUGAUUGGGAGAAGCACAUUUCUUUCUUUAUACUUGCAAAUAGCAUAGAUUAAAGCCCUUACCUCCCCAGAGCCUAUUUAUGGAAACAGUCAAGGCAACAGGGCAGAGAAGCAUGACGUUUGGAACAAGGUGUGUAACAGGGAGCAGGCCUAAAUCUUAUGUUAAGAUGAUAUAUUAGGCAGGAAAAUAAAAGCGAUCCCAGGUUCACCUAUUAACUGCAGGGGUAACAAAGAGAUAGAGGCAUGUGGUGUGAGGUACCUUUCCAGGCUCUGGGAUUUUUGGUAGCAGUGCUUCUAUGAAGGGCCCCGGUAGAGCUGAUGAACUCAGAUGAGCACAAUGCCAAAGACCUCUGAGACCUCUUUGCAGGCUUCUCACUCUAUCAAAUCCAUGAACAGAGAGUGCGGCAGCUCCAGAGGAAAACAUGAUGAUCCUAAUGGUACCAAACUUCCAGGCAAGCCCCAGAAGGUAGGCCAUUGCAUGCCUGCUACUACGUCUCUGCCAUGCCAGCUGCAGACAUCACUAGUUAAUCUUUCUACUCUUUCCUUUGGAUCCUAGAGGCAGACAGUACUAAUCCAUCCAGGUUUACACUCAUGGGAGAAUACCAGUUCACUGUCUUUGUCUCUGAGGAACUCAUAUUCUCUUCCUGGCCUCUGUUUCUUUUUGGAAAGCUUGAACACACCUUUUCUGGACCAUGGGAUCCUGCACAGCCUUUUUCCUUUAGUGACGUAAGCAGUGUUCUUGGCUUCCUGAAGGUGGUCACUUAAUGCUUUCUGUCCUCACUCCCUUCUAUCAUCAAACCCUCUAUUUCAGCACAAAUGUAAUUUGCCCUCCAAAAGUAAGUUAUCAGGAGGCACAAGUCACCAUCAGAGGUACUUCUGGAUUGGGUUUGAGCUGCUUGAUUCCAAGUUGGGUUAUACCAAACCUGAAAUCAUCUAGAAUUUAUUCUCAAUAAAAAUAAAAUAAAAUGUAAGAAAGAUGCCUCCCCACCCCAGCCUACAGUGGUUGCAGCAAGACCUCCUUGGCAGUAACCCAGUCUUGGGUAAAACUGGCUAGAUGGGAGAAGCCUGAAGCCUCUGCCAGAAAGCCCAAGCUGUGUCGGGCUUUGCAGGCUUUGUCCCAGCCUUGAUCAGCUCCCUGAGGCAUGCUGGAUGAAGGCUUCACUGCACAAGAAAAUGUAAAAGGCACUGACCCCCUCAGCCUGCCUGGCAUCUGGCCAGCCCCCACCAGCCAGCUGCCAUCAGUCCUUACUGGGUUGGCAAGGUGACCACAAGCCGACCCCUUCCCCUGGUCACUUCUCUGGUCCUCCGUCCUGUGAAAAGCAUCCUCUUCUUGAUACUCCUAUUCCCCACACCCCAUGCUCCACUGUGUUUAAAUUACAGGUACUUGAGAGCAGAAGAGCAGCAAGUGAACUCCCAAGAGGCUCAUCUAUAGGGAUCCCAGGGUCCAUGGGCUGAGAAAAUGAUAUCAGGCCCCUCAUUCUACCUGUGGGAAUGGAGAAGAGGAGUAAUUAAAAAAGAGGUUCCCUAACCAGCAAUUUGUUUAUGGGAAAUCUUGGGGCCAGCCACGGACCUGGAGCUGCAGACUGGGCCCUGGAAAAUAUAGGCAAGAGAGACUGAACAGGUUGACCAGAAAACAGAGGGACAGUGUGUUUGGUGGAAGUGGGCCUCAGACCUGAAGGUGAGGGGUGGUCCUUGUUCUCUAAAAGAAAAUGACCAAGUGUCUAUGAAGAGGAGGGAUGUGUGUAGUAGUUGAUUUGGGUGAAAAAGUGAGUUAUCCACACAGUCUGUAGAUUAAACCAAGCCAAGCCAAUCCACAUGCCCUCAUUAGCUCUAUUUCUAAGACAUACAGACACAGUAUUAACUUCUAGCUCUGUACAUAUUUGUACAAUUAUUUGUAUAAUAUAUAUUUAUACACAGACAACAUAUCCCUAUUUAUAUAUAAAUUACCUAUAUACACAUACAUCUAUGCAUAUGAGUACAUAUAAUUUGUUAAUUUAUAUUUUGCAGUAACAAUAUUUGACUGUAAAAUAUUUGUUCAUAUAAAUAAGCUUAUGUACAAAUUACUAUGUGAUAAUCAAAAAGGCAUAGUCUUUGUAUUCAGAUAGUUCUCUUGAGUCCCAGUUCUGUCACUUAGAGAAGGUGUUCCCUUGGGUGGAUUAUUUAAUUGAGCCUUAAUUUUCUUUCUGAAAGUAGGAGUAAUGACACAUAUACAUUUCCUACAGAUGUUAUGAGGAAUAAGAUAACGGAUAUAAAACAUACAUGUAGGCGAUAAGUGGUAGAUAUAGCUAUUUAUGUUAUAGUAUCUCUGCUACUCUAACUGGGUGAAGGCUGGAUCUCUCAUUUUCUUGGGUGGGUUGUGGAUAUCAGGGCUGAGCAGGUGGUGACUCUAUUUGAGGCCUUCCAAACAAGUCCAUCAUUGUGUACCAUCUAAUAGGCUCUUAAGGGACUUCUUCUAAUUGGGUUGCUUCCAUGGUGAGAAUAAUUCAUUCCUAUGCUCUGCCUGGGCAAUUUAUUGGAGGAAUUCCUUGCUGAAAUAAUAAAACACCAGGGUGCAGGUGACAUCUUGUAGAACCCAGUUCAGGGAGGUGGGUGUCAAUGCCAGACAAAGGACACUUGCCUACAAAAGCCACCCCUGGAGGGGGUGAGCUCCCUGUCACAGAUGAGGCUUCAGUAGAGGCAGGGCAAGCCCACGUGGGAAUUCACAUGUCAGGUGUGGGUUGCACUAUAUAUUUUCUGGGGUCUCCUUGCAACUGGAAAGCCCCACAUCCUAUGGCUUCUGUUUGCAGUGUAUUCUGAAUGCGGUGUGCUGUGGUUUCUGGGUUACCUGCUCACCUUUCUUCCAUCCACCUCCCUCCCAGUGGCCUCUAUUCAUCAGUUACAAGGCCCUGAAGGAAUCCAAUAGUAAGGAGGUGAGAUUACAUUCUGAGGAAAUGGAUAAACUGAAAUGGGGCUGGGAUUGAACUGAACCGGGCAGCCAGCUUCAUUUAAUGGCCUGAGCAAAGUCUGAUUAGGGAAAGGCAACCAUCCAGAACAGCGGGAGGACAGCUUGCUGCAGGCGGACCAGAGGCCCUCUGCACUCUGGCAUGGCCUCACUGCCAGGCCAGCUCCCCUGGCGAUCAAAGGACACGGGCUGGUGCCAUUCAGCCUCUGCAUAUCAGGUUCUCCGGGAGCUUCCUUCCAGAUUAAUUUCUUCCCUCAGCUCACUAAGUGUACCCACUCCAGGCCUGUGCUGACGUGGCCAGCUCCCCAGGGGAGAUGGGAGAGCAUGGUACAGCAGGCCUGGGAACAGAACAAAGCACUCACUGGGCGUCGAGAUUAGAGCCCAGAGUGGUGAUGGGACAUCAGGAAAAUGAUGUGCAAUGUGCAUUAGGAACAUCCCAGAGACCACCUCGCCACCUGCCAGGACGGGCGGUGAGCAAACAAGGAGAGGGAGAUGGCAUGGCUGCAGUGGUGGACGUACAUCUGUGGUUGCUAGGAUGCCAGUCAUUUGUAGCAACAUGGAUGGACCUAGAGAUUACCAUUCUGAGUGAAGUAAGCCAGAGAGAGGCAAAUACCAUAUGAUAUCACUUAUAUGUAGAGUCUAAUUAAAAACGAUACAAAAGAACUUAUUUCUAAAAUAGAAACUCAUAGAUUUGGAAAGCAAAUUUAUAGUUACCAAAGGGGAAAUAUGGAGGGGAGGGAUAAAUUAGGAGGAUGCAGUUAACAUAUACACACUACUGUAUCUAAAAUAGAUAAACAACAAAGACCUACCAUACAGCACAGGGAACUCUACUCAAUAUUCUGUAAUAACCUAUAUGAGAAGAAAAGAGUGGAUGUAUGUAUGUAACUGAUUCAUUUUGCUGUACAGCUGCAACUAAGACUAUAUUGUAAGUCAACUAUGUGCCAAUAAAAUAAAAAAA